UACAGAGGUCCCAAGCGUUGUUCGGAUUCACUGGGCGUAAAGGGUGCGUAGGCGGUCGGGUAAGUCUGAUGUGAAAUCUCACAGCUUAACUGUGAAACUGCAUUGGAUACUAUUCGGCUUGAGAGUUGGAGGGGGGACUGGAAUUCUUGGUGUAGCAGUGAAAUGCGUAGAGAUGUGGAGGAACACCAAUGGCGAAGGCAGCCUUCUGGGCCAACACUGACGCUCAUGCACGAAAGCGUGGGGAGCAAACAGG
This 253-nucleotide ribosomal RNA is filed under the name uncultured bacterium. Its description in RNAcentral is "partial 16S ribosomal RNA". It matches the Rfam family "Bacterial small subunit ribosomal RNA", at positions 524 to 776 of the family's 1533-position model. The record is from RNAcentral.